GAUGAACGCUGGCGGCGUACCUAAUACAUGCAAGUCGAGCGAACGGACGAGAAGCUUGCUUCUCUGAUGUUAGCGGCGGACGGGUGAGUAACACGUGGAUAACCUACCUAUAAGACUGGGAUAACUUCGGGAAACCGGAGCUAAUACCGGAUAAUAUUUUGAACCGCAUGGUUCAAAAGUAAAAGACGGUCUUGCUGUCACUUAUAGAUGGAUCCGCGCUGCAUUAGCUAGUUGGUAAGGUAACGGCUUACCAAGGCAACGAUGCAUAGCCGACCUGAGAGGGUGAUCGGCCACACUGGAACUGAGACACGGUCCAGACUACUACGGGAGGCAGCAGUAGGGAAUCUUCCGCAAUGGGCGAAAGCCUGACGGAGCAACGCCGCGUGAGUGAUGAAGGUCUUCGGAUCGUAAAACUCUGUUAUUAGGGAAGAACAUAUGUGUAAGUAACUGUGCACAUCUUGACGGUACCUAAUCAGAAAGCCACGGCUAACUACGUG
This 497-nucleotide ribosomal RNA is filed under the name uncultured bacterium. RNAcentral's name for it is "partial 16S ribosomal RNA". It matches the Rfam family "Bacterial small subunit ribosomal RNA", at positions 28 to 507 of the family's 1533-position model. The record is from RNAcentral.